UGCCAGCAGCCGCGGUAAUACGGAGGGAACUAGCGUUGUUCGGAAUUACUGGGCGUAAAGCGCGCGUAGGCGGCUUAUCAAGUCAGGGGUGAAAUCCCGGAGCUCAACUCCGGAACUGCCCUUGAAACUGGUAAGCUAGAAUAUUGGAGAGGUAAGUGGAAUUCCGAGUGUAGAGGUGAAAUUCGUAGAUAUUCGGAAGAACACCAGUGGCGAAGGCGACUUACUGGACAAUUAUUGACGCUGAGGUGCGAAAGCGUGGGGAGCAAACAGGAUUAGAUA
This 279-nucleotide ribosomal RNA is filed under the name uncultured bacterium. Its description in RNAcentral is "partial 16S ribosomal RNA". It matches the Rfam family "Bacterial small subunit ribosomal RNA", at positions 506 to 784 of the family's 1533-position model. The record is from RNAcentral.